This 500-nucleotide ribosomal RNA is filed under the name uncultured bacterium. RNAcentral's name for it is "partial 16S ribosomal RNA". It matches the Rfam family "Bacterial small subunit ribosomal RNA", at positions 28 to 507 of the family's 1533-position model. The record is from RNAcentral.
GACGAACGCUGGCUGCGUGCUUAACACAUGCAAGUCGAACGGGUCUGCCCUGUUUUUUGCGGGGUGGGUCAGUGGCGAACGGGUGAGUAACACGUGAGUAACCUGCCCCUCACUUCUGGAUAACCGCUUGAAAGGGUGGCUAAUACGGGGUGUUCUGGCUGUGCCGCAUGGUGUGGCUGGGAAAGAUUCACUUUUGUGGUGUUUUGGUGGGGGAUGGGCUCGCGGCCUAUCAGCUUGUUGGUGGGGUGAUGGCCUGCCAAGGCUUUGACGGGUAGCCGGCCUGAGAGGGUGGGCGGUCACACUGGGACUGAGAUACGGCCCAGACUCCUGCGGGAGGCAGCAGUGGGGGGUAUUGCACAAUGGGCGGAAGCCUGAUGCAGCGACGUCGCGUGAGGGAUGGAGGCCUUCGGGUUGUGAACCUCUUUCGCCGGUGAAGAAGGUCCUGCUCUUUGUGGUGGGGUUGACGGUAGCCGGGUUAUGAAGCGCCGGCUAACUACGUG